UCUAGUGACAGAGUGAGGGACGGUGUGACUAGUGACAGAGAGAGGGAGGGGGUGACUAGUGACAGAGUGAGGGAGGUUGUGAUUAGUGACAGAGGGAAGGAUGAGGUGACUAGUGACAGUCACCACCUCCUUCACUCUGUCACUAGUCACCCCCUUCCUCACUCUGUCAUUGUGUCACCCCCUUUCUCACUCUUUCACUAGUCAUCCCCUUCCUUACUGUCACUAGUCACCCCCUGCCUCUAUCUGUCACUAGUCCCACCCUCCCUCACUCUGUCACUAGAGUG
Molecule: small RNA, 284 nt
Filed under: Pelobates cultripes (western spadefoot toad)
Lineage: Eukaryota; Metazoa; Chordata; Amphibia; Anura; Pelobatidae
Source: RNAcentral